UUGGGACAAUGAUAAAAGAGGUCAUUUUAAAGUACUUUAUGAUAAUCCAGACACCACAAAUGUCCCUCUGAUAAUUAAGGUCACCUAUUAACAACCUACCACUAAAGUUAAACUUAAUUACAAAAACUGCCACUGCUGGCUCUCGCUCCCUCCCUUCCGUUAAUAUGUUAUCCGUUCAGAUUCAACCCUUUACCAAAAUCUCUCUCUCUCCACAAACCCUUACCAUCCCAACCUCCUUGACCGCGACUCCUUAAGACCUUCCUCGACUUCUCCGACUCGCCGCCCUUCACCAUCGAUCUCUCCUUCGAGUGGAUCCUCGACUCCGUGACUCCGACACCGAUCAGAUCAAGCUCAUUGAUCGCACCCUGCAGUUGGGAUCGGUGCUCCUCGAGGCCGGUAAGAGCUCGGCGAGACGACAAGCCUCCAAGCACAACUCCAUCUCCUGGGCUCUCCCUCUCGACCUCACCAUCAAGGGAUGUGAUGGGUCAGUUUUGCUUGAUGGAUCAGCGAGUGGUCCAAGUGAGCAGGAGGCACCUCCAAACCUGAGUUUGAGGGCCACGGCCUUCGAAAUCAUCAAUGACCUCCGUGAGCUAGCUCAUAGCAAAUGUGGGAGGGUUUGUUUCUUGUGCUGAUAUAGCUGCUCUUGCUGCUAGGGAUUCUGUUUUCCUGGUGGUUCGCAAAGCGUUUCUUACAUCCUGAUAUAGUUGAUCAAUAUAGUCGCAUUCUUCUACGGGAUGAGGACCUUGGAGUUGACAAUUUCAAUCCUCAACGGUACUGUAGCUGCAUUUCCAAUAAGCAAAGUUAGGAUGCUUGCUUGCAUUUGAACUACUGUAAAACUCUGUUGCUCAAACUCUAUAUUGUUCUUCUUCUACAACACUUCUAGGUAUGUGUCCAUUGUUCGAAAGGAAGGGCUUGAAAUAUCACAACCGGCACUUGAUUUUUCCAAGACAGAGGUGAACUACAUGGAGAAACUUUCGAAAGAGGAGGGGAUUCAGAAGAAACUCAGCAAGGAUAUUUUGCAAUAUAA
Molecule: long non-coding RNA, 1027 nt
Organism: Rosa rugosa (rugosa rose)
Lineage: Eukaryota; Viridiplantae; Streptophyta; Magnoliopsida; Rosales; Rosaceae
Exons: 3
Source: RefSeq, a predicted model, not a curated record